GAUGAACGCUGGCGGCGUGCCUAAUACAUGCAAGUCGAGCGAACGGACGAGAAGCUUGCUUCUCUGAUGUUAGCGGCGGACGGGUGAGUAACACGUGGAUAACCUACCUAUAAGACUGGGAUAACUUCGGGAAACCGUAGCUAAUACCGGAUAAUAUUUUGAACCGCAUGGUUCAAAAGUGAAAGACGGUCUUGCUGUCACUUAUAGAUGGAUCCGCGCUGCAUUAGCUAGUUGGUAAGGUAACGGCUUACCAAGGCAACGAUGCAUAGCCGACCUGAGAGGGUGAUCGGCCACACUGGAACUGAGACACGGUCCAGACUCCUACGGAAGGCAGCAGUAGGGAAUCUUCCGCAAUGGGCGAAAGCCUGACGGAGCAACGCCGCGUGAGUGAUGAAGGUCUUCGGAUCGUAAAACUCUGUUAUUAGGGAAGAACAUAUGUGUAAGUAACUGUGCACAUCUUGACGGUACCUAAUCAGAAAGCCACGGCUAACUACGUG
RNAcentral lists this ribosomal RNA (497 nucleotides) under uncultured bacterium. Its description in RNAcentral is "partial 16S ribosomal RNA". It matches the Rfam family "Bacterial small subunit ribosomal RNA", at positions 28 to 507 of the family's 1533-position model. The record is from RNAcentral.